AUUUAAAUAGCUUAAAAUUAAGAGUAUAAUAUUGAAGAUAUUAGGGUGAUUAAGAAUCUUUAGAUA
RNAcentral lists this transfer RNA (66 nucleotides) under Isoteinon lamprospilus. RNAcentral's name for it is "tRNA-Phe". The record is from RNAcentral. Lineage: Eukaryota; Metazoa; Arthropoda; Insecta; Lepidoptera; Hesperiidae.